This 253-nucleotide ribosomal RNA is filed under the name uncultured bacterium. Its description in RNAcentral is "partial 16S ribosomal RNA". It matches the Rfam family "Bacterial small subunit ribosomal RNA", at positions 524 to 776 of the family's 1533-position model. The record is from RNAcentral.
GACAGAGGUGCCAAGCGUUAGGCGGAAUCACUGGGCUUAAAGCGUGUGUAGGCGGACUUGUAAGUACCUUGUGAAAUCCCACGGCUCAACCGUGGAACUGCUUGGUAUACUGCUUGUCUUGAGCCACUUAGGGGCUACCGGAACAAAUGGUGGAGCGGUGAAAUGCGUAGAUAUCAGGAGGAACACCUGCGGUGUAGACGGCUUUCUGGACCAUUGCUGACGCUGAGACACGAAAGCGUGGGUAGCAAACAGG